GGACUGAGACACGGCCCAGACNCUACGGAGCAGCAGUGGGAAUAUGCACAAUGGGGGAAACCUGAUGCAGCGACGCCGCGUGAGGGAUGACGGCCUUCGGGUUGUAAACCUCUUUCAGUAGGGAAGAAGCCUUUCGAGGUGACGGUACCUGCAGAAGAAGUACCGGCUAACUACGUGCCAGCAGCCGCGGUAAUACGUAGGGUACAAGCGUUGUCCGGAAUUAUUGGGCGUAAAGAGCUCGUAGGCGGUCCGUCGCGUCUGCUGUGGAAACGCAAGGCUCAACCUUGCGCGUGCAGUGGGUACGGGCGGACUAGAGUGCAGUAGGGGAGUCUGGAAUUCCUGGUGUAGCGGUGAAAUGCGCAGAUAUCAGGAGGAACACCGGUGGCGAAGGCGGGACUCUGGGCUGUUACUGACGCUGAGGAGCGAAAGCAUGGGGAGCGAACAGGAUUAGAUACCCUGGUAGUCCAUGCCGUAAACGUUGGGCACUAGGUGUGGGGCUCAUUCCACGAGUUCCGCGCCGCAGCUAACGCAUUAAGUGCCCCGCCUGGGGAGUACGGCCGCAAGGCUAAAACUCAAAGGAAUUGACGGGGGCCCGCACAAGCGGCGGAGCAUGCGGAUUAAUUCGAUGCAACGCGAAGAACCUUACCAAGGCUUGACAUACACCGGAAUGUGCCAGAGAUGGUUCAGCCCUUUGGGCUGGUGUACAGGUGGUGCAUGGUUGUCGUCAGCUCGUGUCGUGAGAUGUUGGGUUAAGUCCCGCAACGAGCGCAACCCUCGUUCUAUGUUGCCAGCACGUGAUGGUGGGAACUCAUAGGAGACUGCCGGGGUCAACUCGGAGGAAGGUGGGGAUGACGUCAAAUCAUCAUGCCCUUUAUGUCUUGGGCUUCACGCAUGCUACAAUGGUCGGUACAAAGGGUUGCGAGACCGUGAGGUGGAGCGAAUCCCAGAAAGCCGAUCUCAGUUCGGAUCGUAGUCUGCAACUCGACUACGUGAAGUCGGAGUCGCUAGUAAUCGCAGAUCAGAACG
RNAcentral lists this ribosomal RNA (1026 nucleotides) under uncultured bacterium. RNAcentral describes it as "bacterial SSU rRNA". It matches the Rfam family "Bacterial small subunit ribosomal RNA", at positions 316 to 1356 of the family's 1533-position model. The record is from RNAcentral.